Molecule: ribosomal RNA, 468 nt
Filed under: uncultured bacterium
Lineage: Bacteria
Description: partial 16S ribosomal RNA
Rfam family: Bacterial small subunit ribosomal RNA
Source: RNAcentral
GACGAACGCUGGCGGCGUGCUUAACACAUGCAAGUCGAACGGAAAGGCCCUGCUUUUGUGGGGUGCUCGAGUGGCGAACGGGUGAGUAACACGUGAGUAACCUGCCCUUGACUUUGGGAUAACUUCAGGAAACUGGGGCUAAUACCGGAUAGGAGCUCCUGCUGCAUGGUGGGGGUUGGAAAGUUUCGGCGGUUGGGGAUGGACUCGCGGCUUAUCAGCUUGUUGGUGGGGUAGUGGCUUACCAAGGCUUUGACGGGUAGCCGGCCUGAGAGGGUGACCGGCCACAUUGGGACUGAGAUACGGCCCAGACUGCUACGGGAGGCAGAAGUGGGGAAUAAUGCACAAGGGGCGGAAGCCGGAGGCAGAAACGCCGAGUGCGGGAUGACGGCCUUCGGGUUGUAAACCGCUUUCGCUUGUGACGAAGCGUGAGUGAAGGUAAUGGGUAAAGAAGAACCGGCUAACUAAGUG